RNAcentral lists this ribosomal RNA (461 nucleotides) under uncultured bacterium. RNAcentral describes it as "partial 16S ribosomal RNA". It matches the Rfam family "Bacterial small subunit ribosomal RNA", at positions 338 to 795 of the family's 1533-position model. The record is from RNAcentral.
CCUACGGGUGGCAGCAGUGAGGAAUAUUGGUCAAUGGGCUUACGCCUGAACCAGCCAAGUCGCGUGAGGGAAGACUGCCCUAUGGGUUGUAAACCUCUUUUGUCAGGGAGCAAUUGGCGCUACGUGUAGCGUUAUCGAGAUUACCUGCAGAAAAAGAAUCGGCUAACUCCGUGCCAUCAGCCGCGUUAAUACGGAGGAUGCGAGCGUUAUCCGGAAUUCCUGGGUGUAAAGGGGGCGUAGACGGCGAGGUAAGCCUGAAGGUGAAACCAGCGGUCAAACCGCGGAACUGCUUUGGGAACUGUUUUGCGUGAGGAUGCGAGAGGUAAGCGGAAUUCCUGGUGUAGCGGUGAAAUGCGUAGAUAUCAGGAGGAACACCGGUGGCGAAGGCGGCUUACUGGACCAUAACUGACGUUGAGGCUCGAAAGCGUGGGGAGCGAACAGGAUUAGAUACCCUAGUAGUC